This 600-nucleotide ribosomal RNA is filed under the name Staphylococcus sp. SS38. Its description in RNAcentral is "bacterial SSU rRNA". It matches the Rfam family "Bacterial small subunit ribosomal RNA", at positions 28 to 617 of the family's 1533-position model. Lineage: Bacteria; Bacillati; Bacillota; Bacilli; Caryophanales; Staphylococcaceae. The record is from RNAcentral.
GCUGAACGCUGGCGGCGCGUCUAAUACAUGCAGUCGAGCGAACAGACGAGGAGCUUGCUCCUCUGACGUUAGCGGCGGACGGGUGAGUAACACGUGGAUAACCUACCUAUAAGACUGGGAUAACUUCGGGAAACCGGAGCUAAUACCGGAUAAUAUAUUGAACCGCAUGGUUCAAUAGUGAAAGACGGUUUUGCUGUCACUUAUAGAUGGAUCCGCGCCGCAUUAGCUAGUUGGUAAGGUAACGGCUUACCAAGGCAACGAUGCGUAGCCGACCUGAGAGGGUGAUCGGCCACACUGGAACUGAGACACGGUCCAGACUCCUACGGGAGGCAGCAGUAGGGAAUCUUCGGCGAUGGGCGAAAGCCUGACGGAGCAACGCCGCGUGAGUGAUGAAGGUCUUCGGAUCGUAAGACUCUGUUAUAAGGAAAAAACAAAUGUGUAAGUAACUAUGCACGUCUUGACGGUACCUAAUCAGAAAGCCACGGCUAACUACGUGCCAGCAGCCGCGGUAAUACGUAGGUGGCAAGCGUUAUCGGAAUUAUUGGGCGUAAGCGCGCGUGGCGGUUUUUAAGUCUGAUGUGAAGCCAACGCUCACCGUGG